GUUUUAAUAGUUUAAAAACAAAAUAAUGAUCUUGUAAAUCAUAGAUAGAAAAUCUUUAAAACU
Molecule: transfer RNA, 63 nt
Filed under: Helotrephes sp. NKMT027
Lineage: Eukaryota; Metazoa; Arthropoda; Insecta; Hemiptera; Helotrephidae
Description: tRNA-Thr
Source: RNAcentral